UACAGAGGUGGCAAGCGUUGUUCGGAAUUGCUGGGCGUAAAGGGCGCGUAGGCGGCUUGGUCAGUCCCGUGUGAAAUCCCUCGGCUCAACUGAGGAACUGCACGGGAAACUGCCUGGCUUGAGUUCGGGAGAGGGAAGCGGAAUUCCGGGUGUAGCGGUGAAAUGCGUAGAUAUCCGGAGGAACACCGGUGGCGAAGGCGGCUUCCUGGACCGACACUGACGCUGAGGCGCGAAAGCCAGGGGAGCAAACGGG
Molecule: ribosomal RNA, 253 nt
Filed under: uncultured bacterium
Lineage: Bacteria
Description: partial 16S ribosomal RNA
Rfam family: Bacterial small subunit ribosomal RNA
Source: RNAcentral